Molecule: long non-coding RNA, 2016 nt
Organism: Sus scrofa (pig)
Lineage: Eukaryota; Metazoa; Chordata; Mammalia; Artiodactyla; Suidae
Source: RefSeq, a predicted model, not a curated record
GUGGACAAUGCCAAAUCCUUAACUGCUAGGUCACCAAAGAACCCCAGAUUUUACCAUUUUAACCUUUAAGUGGAUGUGUAAUUCAUCAAUAAUUCCAAAUAUUGUGCAAAUUUUCACCACUAUCCAUUUUCAGAAAUAUUUCAUCAUCCCUGAUAAAAGGCAGAUAACAGGUCCCCAGUGCAGUCACUCGUGCUAACAGCCUGGUCAGAAAAACAAAAUUUAAUAAAUAACCUAACUGCAGUUUUAACCUUCUGGAAUUUAACCUUUAGCCAUUCAACCUAGAAUCACCUCCUCAGUACAGUGAGAUAAUCCUCCCAAUAAGCCCUUCCAUUUCCCUUAGGAAGGUGGCCUUGACUGAAACAACACAUUCUUCAUUUGUCUUUAGAAAACCUUCCUUUUCCACAGCUCAGUGGAGCUCCUUUCUGUUAUCCAAUUUAUGAAGCAUUGCCUAAAAGCCAAUUUGAUCUUUAAAUUUACUCAGUUGAAUUUCUGUUAUUUAACAGAUUUGGUGACAGAGGUGGAACCAAAGACUAAGGACAAAAGGAGUCAUACAUGAAUGUGCCGGAAACUACAUCCACAACGGCCACCCAGCUCUGUUUUGGAUGCUUGGCCACAGUUAUUUUUCUCAGGACUGCUGAGACCUUCGCCACCCAUCCGUGUGUGUCCCUCUUCCCAAGCCCUGCUGCUGUCGUAUCCUCAUCCCUUCUUUCCACCUCAUAGGAGGUAGACAUCCAACAGUCCCUUUUAGAGAAAACUAGAGCAAACCUGUGAGGUUGGAUUUGGACUAGAAAGAAAUACAGCAAGUACGUGCCAACAAUCACGGUCCUUUGUAUUCAUCCAAAGGAGUCGAAGAUGUAUAUUUAUGCGAAACCCACACACGGGUGUUUCUUGUCGGAGACCACUGCACAGCUGAACCAUGCGGAAGGCAAGCACCUGCUGACUCUGAGUUCUAAAGUGCAGGGUCUGCUGCAAAGACGUGAUGCAUAAACUGCUAGCCUGUGAGCAGCUGCACUAUGUGCAGCUAGAGGUGUGCACCAGUGCUAAGAGUGUGGUCGUGAUUCACAAAGAGGUGGCUUCGUCAUCGCCUGUGCUGGCUCCUGCCCACGAUUCUACAUUUGGCACCUUCCUUAGUAAAAGUCGUGUGGACUAAAGCCUCGGCGCCUUUGUUCUGCAGCACAGAGUGCCUCCCGGUCCCCCACUUUCUAAACCUAAGUCUUGUGUGUUCUGUUACACUGCGCAGUCCCUCCUCCAGGAUUCCCCGUUGCCCUGCAGCGCUGGACAGGCAGUUUCUAUCUAUUGGCUUUAAAUGCAAAAAGGCUGAAACGUGGAGGCAGCCAAGAUAUCCUUCAGCAGGUGAAUGGAUAGAACAACUGUGGUCCAUCCAGGCAACGGGCUGUUAUUCUGUGCUAAAAGGACAUGAGCUAUCCAGCCAUCAGAAGUCAUUGGAGGAACCUUAAAUGCAUAUCGCUAAGUGAAAGGCUAAGAACUGCAUGAUUCCAACUAUACCAUCUUCUGGAAAAGGCAAAACGGGGGAGGCAGUAAAAAGAUCUGUUGUGGUCAGGGGUUGGGGGAAGGGAGGGAACAGGCAGAGCACUGAGGAUUUUUAGGGCAGGGAAACUAGUCUGAAAAGACACUUCACUGGCAGAUACGUAUCAUAUAUAUCUUGGUCCAAACCUAUAGAAUGUAUAAUAAGCGUGAAUGUUCAUCUAAUCUCCAGGCUUUGGGUAAUAAUAACAUGGAUGCAGGUUAGACUGUAACAAAUGUGCCCCUCCGUGGGGGGGAGGGAUGUUGCUAAUGGGUGGAGGCUGUAAGGAGCAGAGAUGGGGGCACAGGGGAAUUCUCUUUAUGUCUUGCUCACUUUUGCUGUAAACCUAAAACUGCUCUAAAAAGAGUUGAUUUUAAAAUCUGUGUUCACUCUAGCCUGGGAACCUCCAUAUGCCGUGGGUGUGGCCCUAAAAAGACAAAAUAAAUAAAUGAAUAAAUAAAAUGUAUGUUCGGUAUGUAGGUUAGACCGUU